RNAcentral lists this ribosomal RNA (381 nucleotides) under uncultured euryarchaeote. RNAcentral's name for it is "bacterial SSU rRNA". It matches the Rfam family "Archaeal small subunit ribosomal RNA", at positions 471 to 851 of the family's 1478-position model. Lineage: Archaea; Methanobacteriati; Methanobacteriota. The record is from RNAcentral.
UAAUACUAGCGGUCCAAGUCGCAGCCAUUUUUAUUGGGUCUAAAACAUCCGUAGCUUGUUUAGUAAGUUUCUUGUGAAAUCUUAUAUCUUAAAUAUAAGGCGUGCAAGAAGUACUACUAAGCUAGAGACUGGGAGACGUAAGGAGUACGGUUAAAGUAACGGUAAAAUGUGUUAAUCUUAAUCGGACUAACAAUAGCGAAGGCACCUUACGAGAACAGUUCUGACAGUAAGGGAUGAAGGCUAGGGGCGCAAAACGGAUUAGAUACCCGUGUAGUCCUAGCAGUAAACACUGCACACUAAACAUCGGUACCUCUUCGGGAGGCAUCGGUGCUGUAGGGAAGCCGUAGAGUGUGCUACCUGGGAAGUAUAGUCGCAAGGCCG